GUCUGCAGGGCACAGGACGCCUAGGUAGCGGAGCGGCUGGUGCGCUGUCGUCUGUGGUAGAGUGAGGUGUUGGCGACAGGAGAAUCGUGUGAAACCAAAGGAAAGAGAAUGUUGGGAAGAAGUAUUGAAGGUAGCAGCUCCCUGUUUUAUCCACAUGGUUCCCAUUUCUAGAAAACUGCUCCUAUCAGUAAACCGUUCGACCUCAGAGCUGUCAGGAGGUUCAUCGAGAAGAUCAGACCUGCUGGACUCUUCUUCCAGAGCCUAGGACAGAGGGCAGAUGGAGCUCGUUUGGAUCCCUUAGGACACAAGUCUUCCCCAACCACAGGACCCCCACCAAAGUGGCCUUCUCUGGAACCUCCCCUCCCAGGCCUCAGUGCUCGGGUAACUUGGUCUUCCCUCGCUCCUGUCCCAGCGCCCAUCACCCAGAAGGAUGCAGAUCACCACCUCCGGCCCAGCGUUCCAGCAGCAACCCAGGUGACUAAGGAUGGGAUGAUUCUACAAAGAAUUCUGGAAAGAGGCAGCGCGCACCAGCAAAAUCCAACGGCUCUCCAGAUACACCCUGCGGCACCUCCCCUAAGCCCAGGCACCCCCAAGAAGCAAUCUGGGCAGUUGCUAGAGGCAAGAUGAUGAUUCAUUUUCAGACUCUCAGGAUGUGCCAAGGGCAUAGAAGCCCUAGGUAAGAGAACCAGGCAGAACCGAUGGCACAACACGAAGCAGAGCCCACCACUGAGCCCACCAGCCCAGCCAGGGUUACCUUUUUGCGUGGCCGAAGCUUGUCCCGCCAUUCCUUUAGGUUCUGGUUAUGGCUUUCGUCCAGGGCCUUCAGCUUCUGGGUUUCAUGCUCUACCAGGAGGUGACACUUUUCAUUCUGCAACAUAUUCCAGGAAGUACAGCAAGAAGGCAUCCAUCCACAAGCCCGAGAGAGAGACUUCACCAGAACCCAGCCAUGCUGGCAAAGCUGAUCGUGGAUUUCCAGGCUCCAAAACUGAGAGACUUGUGACGGGGUAAGGGCCAUGGACCUGGCUGAGGCCUGCCAGCCUCACUGUUCUCUCGCUGAGCACUGACAUUAGAAAUUGACAUUAAGGGGGACCUUCAAGAUGGCAGAGGAGUAAGACAUGGAGAUCACCUUCCUCUCCACAAACACAUCAAAAAUACAUCUACGUGUGGAACAACCCCUACAGAACACCUACUAAAGGCUGGCAGAAGACCUCAGACUUCCCAAAAGGCAAGAAAAUCCCUACACACCUGGGUAGGGCAAAAGAAAAAAUAGAGACAAAAGAAUAGGGACAGGACCUGCACCUCUGGGAGGGAGCUGUGAAGGAGGAAAAGUUUCCACACACUAGGAAGCCCCUUCACGGGCGGAGACAGGGUGGGGUGGGGGUGGGGGGUAAGCUUUGGAGCCACGGAGGAGAGCACAGCAACGGGUGCAGAGGGCAAAGUGGAGAGAUUCCCGCACAGAGGAUCAGUGCCGACCAGCACUCACCAGCCUGAGAGGCUUGUCUGCUCACCCGCUGGGGCGGGCGGGGGCUGGGAGCUGAGGCUCAGGCUUCGGUGGUCUGGUCCCAGGAAGAGGACUGGGGUUGGCUGCAUGAACACAGCCUGAAGGGGGUAUAGUGCACCACAGCUAGCCGGGACGGAGUCCAGGAAAAACUCUGGACCUGCCUAAGAGGCAAAAGACCAUUGUUUCGGGGUGCACGAGGAGAGGGGAUUCCUUCCCCGUCUGCCCACAGAAGGCAGAGCAAUGCCUAAAGGAGCUCCAGAGACGGGUGCGAGCCGCAACUAUCAGCUUGGACACCAGAGGCAGGUGUGAAAUGCUAAGGCUGCUGCUGCAGCCACCAAGAAUCCUGUGUGCGAGCACAGGUCACUAGCCCCAUGCCCAACCCCCACCCCCCGCAAGCUUGUGCAGCCCGCCACUGCCAGGGUCCUGUGAUCCGGGGAACGGCACGCCUCAGGCUGUUGCAACACCACGCCAGCCUCUGCCGCCAAAGGCUCGCCCCGCAUUCCAA
This is a long non-coding RNA of Lagenorhynchus albirostris (white-beaked dolphin), 2006 nucleotides long. RefSeq lists it as uncharacterized. The transcript is spliced from 9 exons. Lineage: Eukaryota; Metazoa; Chordata; Mammalia; Artiodactyla; Delphinidae. The record is from RefSeq and is a predicted model, not a curated record.